GAUGAACGCUGGCGGCGUGCCUAAUACAUGCAAGUCGAGCGAACAGACGCUGCUCUUGCUCCUCUUUCGUUAGCGGCGGACGGGUGUUUCACACGUGUCUCCCCUACCUUUAUUUCUGGUAUCUCUUCGGGAACCCGGUUCUAAUACCGGAUCAUAUCUUGAUCCGUCUGGUUCUUUAGUGCAUUUCGGUUUUGCUGUCUCUUAUAGAUGGUUCCGGGCGGCAUUAGCUAGUUGGUAAGUUACCGGCUUACCACGGCAACGAUGCGUAUCCGACGUGAGAGGGUGAUCGGCCACACUGGAAGGGAGACACGGUCCAGACUACUACGGGAGGCAGCAGUAGGGAAUGUUACGCAAUGGGCGAAAGCCUGACGGAGCAACGCCGCGUGAGUGAAGAAGGUCUUGGGAUCGUAAAACACUGUUAUGAGGGAAGAACAAAUGUGGAAGGAAAUAUGGACGUAUUGACGGUACCGAAUAAGAAAGCAACGGCUAACUACGUG
Molecule: ribosomal RNA, 497 nt
Filed under: uncultured bacterium
Lineage: Bacteria
Description: partial 16S ribosomal RNA
Rfam family: Bacterial small subunit ribosomal RNA
Source: RNAcentral